Molecule: non-coding RNA, 26 nt
Filed under: Homo sapiens (human)
Lineage: Eukaryota; Metazoa; Chordata; Mammalia; Primates; Hominidae
Source: RNAcentral
UGAAUCUUCUGCUCUUGUUUGUGUGA